RNAcentral lists this ribosomal RNA (466 nucleotides) under uncultured bacterium. RNAcentral describes it as "partial 16S ribosomal RNA". It matches the Rfam family "Bacterial small subunit ribosomal RNA", at positions 28 to 507 of the family's 1533-position model. The record is from RNAcentral.
GAUGAACGCUGGCGGCGUGCUUAACACAUGCAAGUCGAACGAUGAAGCCCAGCUUGCUGGGUGGAUUAGUGGCGAACGGGUGAGUAACACGUGAGUAACCUGCCCUUAACUCUGGGAUAAGCCUGGGAAACUGGGUCUAAUACCGGAUAGGAGCGUCCACCGCAUGGUGGGUGUUGGAAAGAUUUAUCGGUUUUGGAUGGACUCGCGGCCUAUCAGCUUGUUGGUGAGGUAAUGGCUCACCAAGGCGACGACGGGUAGCCGGCCUGAGAGGGUGACCGGCCAAACUGGGACUGAGAAACGGCCCAGACUCCUACGGGAGGCAGCAGUGGGGAAUAUUGCACAAUGGGCGCAAGCCUGAUGCAGCGACGCCGCGUGAGGGAUGACGGCCUUCGGGUUGUAAACCUCUUUCAGUAGGGAAGAAGCGAAAGUGACGGUACCUGCAGAAGAAGCACCGGCUAACUACGUG